Molecule: ribosomal RNA, 468 nt
Filed under: uncultured bacterium
Lineage: Bacteria
Description: partial 16S ribosomal RNA
Rfam family: Bacterial small subunit ribosomal RNA
Source: RNAcentral
GACGAACGCUGGCGGCGUGCUUAACACAUGCAAGUCGAACGGAAAGGCCCUGCUUUUGUGGGGUGCUCGAGUGGCGAACGGGUGAGUAACACGUGAGUAACCUGCCCUUGACUUUGGGAUAACUUCAGGAAACUGGGGCUAAUACCGGAUAGGGGCUCCUGCUGCAUGGUGGGGGUUGGAAAGUUUCGGCGGUUGGGGAUGGACUCGCGGCUUAUCAGCUUGUUGGUGGGGUAGUGGCUUACCAAGGCUUUGACGGGUAGCCGGCCUGAGAGGGUGACCGGCCAAAUUGGGACUGGGAUACGGCCCAGAAUCCUACGGGAGGCAGCAGGGGGGAAUAUUGCACAAUGGGCGGAAGCCUGAUGCAGCAACGCCGCGUGCGGGAUGACGGCCUUCGGGUUGUAAACCGCUUUCGCCUGUGACGAAGCGUGAGUGACGGUAAUGGGUAAAGAAGCACCGGCUAACUACGUG